UUUAGCAACCAAACCACCUGCAAGUCAGACUAGGUGAUCCCCUUGAAGCUACGCAGGUUUGGGCCUGGCCAGUACUUGAACGAGAGACCAACUAGGAAAGCUGGGUUGCUGCUGGAA
Molecule: ribosomal RNA, 117 nt
Filed under: Paramormyrops kingsleyae
Lineage: Eukaryota; Metazoa; Chordata; Actinopteri; Osteoglossiformes; Mormyridae
Source: RNAcentral